This 253-nucleotide ribosomal RNA is filed under the name uncultured bacterium. RNAcentral's name for it is "partial 16S ribosomal RNA". It matches the Rfam family "Bacterial small subunit ribosomal RNA", at positions 524 to 776 of the family's 1533-position model. The record is from RNAcentral.
UACAUAGGGUGCGAGCGUUGUCCGGAAUCACUGGGCGUAAAGGGCGCGUAGGCGGCCUGCUAAGUAGUGGGUGAAAUCCUGCGGCUCAACCGCAGGGCUGCCUUCUAAACUGUCAGGCUGGAGCACGGUAGAGGCAGAUGGAAUUCCCGGUGUAGCGGUGGAAUGCGUAGAUAUCGGGAGGAACACCAGUGGCGAAGGCGGCACUCUGGGCCAGUACUGACACUGAGGAGCGAAAGCGUGGGUAGCGAACAGG